This 468-nucleotide ribosomal RNA is filed under the name uncultured bacterium. RNAcentral describes it as "partial 16S ribosomal RNA". It matches the Rfam family "Bacterial small subunit ribosomal RNA", at positions 28 to 507 of the family's 1533-position model. The record is from RNAcentral.
GACGAACGCUGGCGGCGUGCUUAACACAUGCAAGUCGAACGGAAAGGCCCUGCUUUUGUGGGGUGCUCGAGUGGCGAACGGGUGAGUAACACGUGAGUAACCUGCCCUUGACUUUGGGAUAACUUCAGGAAACUGGGGCUAAUACCGGAUAGGAGCUCCUGCUGCAUGGUGGGGGUUGGAAAGUUUCGGCGGUUGGGGAUGGACUCGCGGCUUAUCAGCUUGUUGGUGGGGUAGCGGCUUACCAAGGCUUUGACGGGUAGCCGGCCUGAGAGGGUGACCGGCCACAUUGGGACUGAGAUACGGCCCAGACUCCUACGGGAGGCAGCAGUGGGGAAUAUUGCACAAUGGGUGGAAGCCUGAUGCAGCAACGCCGCGUGCGGGAUGACGGCCUUCGGGUUGUAAACCGCUUUCGCCUGUGACGAAGCGUGAGUGACGGUAAUGGGUAAAGAAGCACCGGCUAACUACGUG